Myotis daubentonii (Daubenton's bat) is the source of this 176-nucleotide long non-coding RNA. RefSeq lists it as uncharacterized. Lineage: Eukaryota; Metazoa; Chordata; Mammalia; Chiroptera; Vespertilionidae. The record is from RefSeq and is a predicted model, not a curated record.
GGGGAUCAUCAGGAAAUGAACAUUUGUUGUGGCAAUAUAAAUCAAGGCUGCUGUUUCUGGUGAAGGUCAGAAGGUGAACAACAGAGUCCCGGUUCCUUCGUUUAGGACGCAAAUGUUUAGCUGAUGCAUACAUAGUCGGUGGGACAAAGAAUGCCUUUUUUAAUCUGAUCCUCAGA